Molecule: long non-coding RNA, 631 nt
Organism: Hyla sarda
Lineage: Eukaryota; Metazoa; Chordata; Amphibia; Anura; Hylidae
Exons: 3
Source: RefSeq, a predicted model, not a curated record
UUUUGUCUUCCUGCGUAGGCAGGCUGUGUUCUGUUAGCCAACCAGCUGUCUUCUCCCUGUAGCUCCACUCCUGUCUUGCACAGUAUGUCAUCUUGCAGACACACUGAAACAUUCUGCAACUGCAUCUCCCCCACACCCCCUCCAUCGGGUCUUCCUUCUGUUUUACACCAGAUGGAUUUGUUGAUGAUUGUGGAGGAUUCUGACAUUUAGAGUGACCUGCUGGCAGGGAAUGGAGAAAUACAGGCUGCUGGAAGAUGAAAAAGAUGCCACUUUCCCCUCAAUAGGAAAUAUUCACAUGUAUUACUAAAAAGCAUGAUGAAUCACAUUGUCAAUAUGAACUGGAAGAGAGAUAUUUGCCUGCACAUUCAUCCGGCCUUGGAAACUGAAAGCAUCGCAUGUGCAGGCCCCUGCAGGGCGCAACUGGAACAGACAGGAGAUGUAAAGUGCAUUUUUGGUGGGAGAGGACAGUGAAUGUAAUUAUAUAAUUGCCUUUGGUUGGAAAUGGGAAUGAGUACAAGCUUAAGGCUGCCAGCCAAUCUAAUGCAUGGUGUUCAGUUUCAUACAGCAAAUGUCUUCUAGUCGUAACAUGCACCACGUAGCAAAUUGUGUAUAAAUGCUGCCCUCGAUAGGU